RNAcentral lists this ribosomal RNA (492 nucleotides) under uncultured bacterium. Its description in RNAcentral is "partial 16S ribosomal RNA". It matches the Rfam family "Bacterial small subunit ribosomal RNA", at positions 29 to 507 of the family's 1533-position model. The record is from RNAcentral.
AGUGAACGCUGGCGGUAGGCCUAACACAUGCAAGUCGAACGGCAGCACAGUAAGAGCUUGCUCUUACGGGUGGCGAGUGGCGGACGGGUGAGGAAUACAUCGGAAUCUACUUUUUCGUGGGGGAUAACGUAGGGAAACUUACGCUAAUACCGCAUACGACCUACGGGCGAAAGCAGGGGAUCUUCGGACCUUGCGCGAUUGAAUGAGCCGAUGUCGGAUUAGCUAGUUGGCGGGGUAAAGGCCCACCAAGGCGACGAUCCGUAGCUGGUCUGAGAGGAUGAUCAGCCACACUGGAACUGAGACACGGUCCAGACUCCUACGGGAGGCAGCAGUGGGGAAUAUUGGACAAUGGGCGCAAGCCUGAUCCAGCCAUACCGCGUGGGUGAAGAAGGCCUUCGGGUUGUAAAGCCCUUUUGCUGGGAAAGAAAAGCAGCAGGUUAAUACCCCGCUGUUCUGACGGUACCCAAAGAAUAAGCACCGGCUAACUUCGUG